This 133-nucleotide small nucleolar RNA is filed under the name Octodon degus (degu). Its description in RNAcentral is "Small nucleolar RNA SNORA1 (ENSODEG00000022239.1)". It matches the Rfam family "Small nucleolar RNA SNORA1". From Rfam's summary of the family: ACA1 is a member of the H/ACA class of snoRNA that guide the sites of modification of uridines to pseudouridines. Lineage: Eukaryota; Metazoa; Chordata; Mammalia; Rodentia; Octodontidae. The record is from Rfam by way of RNAcentral.
AAUCUCAUUCUGGAUUAGAAUGGGCACUGUUGAUUGGUGUCUAGAAUUGGUCAAUGUGGCUAAAAUUGAGACAUAGGUCAUGCUUCCAUCUCAGUAAAUAUUUAUGGUGGUGACAAUAAGGCCUGUAACAUUU